UANACCACUUUUGCCCGGGACGAAAGGGGGGACCUGAAUAAGGUUGCCCGAUGACGGUACCNGGAGAAUAAGCCACGGCUAACUCUGUGCCAGCAGCCGCGGUAANACAGAGGUGGCAAGCGUUGUUCGGAGUUACUGGGCGUAAAGAGUCUGUAGGUGGUCUGUCAAGUCUUUGGUGAAAGGCCGUGGCUUAACCAUGGNAAUGCCAAAGANACUGGCAGACUGGAGGCUGGGAGAGGGAAGCGGAAUUUCUGGUGUAGCGGUGAAAUGCGUAGAUAUCAGAAGGAAGGCCGGUGGCGAAGGCGGCUUCCUGGAACAGACCUGACACUGAGAGACGAAAGCGUGGGGAGCAAACAGGAUUAGAUACCCUGGUAGUCCACGCCCUAAACGAUGGGUACUAAGUGUGGGAG
Molecule: ribosomal RNA, 410 nt
Filed under: uncultured Leptospirillum sp.
Lineage: Bacteria; Pseudomonadati; Nitrospirota; Nitrospiria; Nitrospirales; Nitrospiraceae
Description: bacterial SSU rRNA
Rfam family: Bacterial small subunit ribosomal RNA
Source: RNAcentral